Long non-coding RNA from Salvia splendens (bonfire salvia), 1683 nucleotides. RefSeq lists it as uncharacterized. Lineage: Eukaryota; Viridiplantae; Streptophyta; Magnoliopsida; Lamiales; Lamiaceae. The transcript has 8 exons. The record is from RefSeq and is a predicted model, not a curated record.
UCUAACUCUCGCUUGCGCCUCCUUCCCCCCACGCCUCUCUCUCUCUCAAAUCUCCCUUCUCUCUCGCCUCUGCCGGAAACGUCUGCCACCGCCGGCACCGAUCAGCCGCCGGCCCUCUGGCCAUCUCUCCCUUCUUCCCUUCUCUCCUUCUUUCCUCUCUUCUCACUCUCUCUUUCGGUCUCCCUCUCAGCCAGCACCGCCACCGGCUGGAAACUGCCGCUGCCGCAGCGCCGGCCGCCGUCGCCGUCGUCGCUCGGGAGAAAUUAAGAGGGGUUGAAAAGGAGCCAAGAAGUGUCGUUGUUUGCCGGAUUUCGCCACCACCGCCGGAUGCUGUCGCCGCCGCCGACCCGGCGCUGCCGCUGUUGCUGACAGAGGACAGAAACUCCAGCCAGGUCCAAACCAUUGAAGGGGAAACAAAUAAACAAAUUUCUGUUAGGAGAAAGCAUAGAGACGGCGCUGUGCCACUUUUUUUAUGCUAGCUAUUAUGCGCAAGGUCAAAUGAGCCCUUUAUGCUAACCAGGCCACUUUUCACAUUCACAACGCGUUUAUGAGAGAAUCGGUCCACCCAGAGCUCAAAUGCAUUUCCAAUUCCCCGCUUCGUCAGGAAUAAGUGGUAGCAUUUACUCAUCUAGCCUUGUUAGCAUUGGAAUUGGUGCUAUGCCCUAAACACCGGAAAUUGGCUCUGAUGAUAUAGAACCUGUUGGAUCCCAGAUUCCUUCUAGUUCCUUCAUCUCACAUUUCAAUUGGCGAAGGUCCACAAACUCCUGAAAACGACAUCAUUCCUUCAUUCUCUUUUGCUUUGGCUAGCUACUAAUGGAACCUUCCAGUUGUGCAAAAGAAACUGGAAAUGCUGCAUAUCCUACUAAUGCAACUCUGUCUUCCUAGCAUCUUGGGACUAAUGUCUCUGAGCCAUUUAUGUACCAUACUAUCUCAGAGAAGAUAAUGGAGCACAAGUAUGAAUAGCAGCAGCCGAAAAGGAGUUGAGGAGGAGCUAACUUCUAAAGAGGUUAUUAGUGUAGACUUCGUUUUUCUCAAGGGUUGAUCUGCAAACUUAGUUGUUGCUUACUAACUUCUGAAGUCCUAGGUUUCCCGUGCUUCAAAUAAGUGAUAACAGUGUUCUUUGUUGCCCGAUUUCUUGAGCUAAGGAGAGAGAACUAUUCCGGUUUUGAAAAAUUAAUUUAAAAAGCCAUAGGGCCGAUCGUCUGAAUGAGAGCUUUAUGAGUUGCAAUCUUGUUGAUAUUGGUGCAUAAAGAUGAUUUAGGCAAUAGGAAUAAAGACCUCAUAUCCAAAUUAUCACAUGCCUGACCUUGCAUAAACCCCUAGUAAGCCAAUUUGAGCCCCAAAAGCCUAAUUUCUUUGUUGAAUAUUUUGAAGUCCUUAUAUCUGCUUACCUAUUAUAUCCAUUUGUUGGCCUAUAUUUUCUACCCUAGUCACUAAAAUUAAAGUGCUAGCACAUUCUUGGGAGGGUAUUAUGGUGGCAAGAAAAAGAUGGAGGUUUUGUACCAUUCAUUAGGUGGUAUUUAUUUAUACUGAGAUACAAAGGGAGUGAAUAGCUGUCCCCUUCAAACGAAAAUAGAAUAAAAAGGCAGCCUUUCAUGAGUAAAAAAAAAGCCAAGGCUAGAAAAAAAUAAAAAGGCAGCCUUUCAUAAGUAAAAAAAGCCAAGGCUAGAAAAAGAUAAAAAG